This is a long non-coding RNA of Betta splendens (Siamese fighting fish), 1599 nucleotides long. RefSeq lists it as uncharacterized. Lineage: Eukaryota; Metazoa; Chordata; Actinopteri; Anabantiformes; Osphronemidae. The record is from RefSeq and is a predicted model, not a curated record. The transcript has 4 exons.
UGGGACUGGUUCUAGUUGUUUUUUAGCCUAAUUGACGACAAUGUGAAAAUCGAGGGUGGCCUGAAAUCAUCUGCAUCUACUUCAUCCUGGACCUGCAACAGCCGAUCGCAUGGCGUCGCUUCACCCACUCCCACUCUGCAGCCGUCAUUUUCCCCGACACUCCUCUUCCAGCUUCUAAUCCCUCUUUCUUCUGUCUUGUCUCUGUCUCUCAUCCCUCCCUCGUCCACCAUCAGUCGUGGGCCAAGCUGAGCGGUUCCGGGCCGGCUGUUUGGCCCGUCGGCCCCGUCGUGGACUUCCUCCACCUCUUCGAUCUCGCCACAAUCGAACCCCGCGCUCGUCUCCAGCCCGUUUCCAACUGUCAUCGGCCCUGUUGCUCCUCCAGACGAGUCUGGAACCCGUCCACCUGAAAGCCACAUACUUGGGAUUAUCCACAGGGCGACAGCGCUCUGCGUCUGGCUCACGGCACCAAUUCAUCCCAGUUACUGUAUCUCACAGUCGGCCAACAGGGUUCAGUACAAGUUGUUUGAUUGUCAAGCUCCCAGUUUGCAUCAAGGGCAGCGGAGGAGAGAAGCAGCAGGGAGGACGCGCUGCCGCGCUCCGAUCCGCGGCAGACGACUGAUCUCCCAUCAGACGGAUGGAUGUUACCCUUAAUGGCAGAUACGUGACAAACGGCACCAUGGGAGCCAUUCAGGCAGAGCGUCGCAGCGACCGCUCGCUAAGGAGGGAACACGGAGGGUCGCGUGCACGACAAGCGGAGAGGGGACGCGUGAUGAGUGGCAGGAUGAGAUGGAUGCUGUUCCGCCUCCAAAUUACUGAGUGCGGCGUGUAAACAGGAUGCCACGCAGAGACGAGGCGGCGGCCGCUGCCUCAUCAGCAGCAGCAGCAGGAGGCGUGGCCGAGGGAAUUAUCAAGUUCAAUCACCAGCCAUUCGCUGCAAUUACAGAUGAACAUGGCCUCCGUGUGCCCCGUGUGGCAUCUGUUGCUGACAACGGCGAGAGAAACUCGCCUCCUACUGCUGCACAGAUUAGGUGUAGUCGCCAGCUGGACCACAUCAGUAGCGCCCGGCUGAGCUGCUCGGGGGGAAACGACUAAGAAGGAGGACUGGUGGAGGUGGCAACGUGAGCAGGUAGACGGGAUUAAAAAGACGGGGUUGAGAAGGUGGAUGAGCCCUUCAAAGCUGCUGAAGCAGACUCUGCUCUCCGUCCGUCAGGCAGCCGUCCUCCCCUCUGUGAUCUACCUCCUCCUGACCUCACCUGCUUCACACCAUCACUCUGUAACGGGCGACUCAACCUCUGCCCGGAGGCUGGUCUCCCUCCUUGGAUCCUCACCUUCCCGUAAGGCUGGGCUUUCAGGUCUGUUGUUUAGGAGGAACAGGAUCUCUCUGCUGGAUGCUCUAUGAAAACCAUGUGUGCCUAAAGAGCUCACGUCUGCUCUCACGUGGAGUUCCUGAACUCAUCCCUGUGUUUCCUGCAGAGACUGGUCCAGAGUGAUCUAUGCAGCUCCCGUGUCAAUACAAACAUACAGCACAAUGCAAUGUACGGGUGCUUGUCUUAGUGAUUUAAAAACAGAAGACUGCUCAUUUUAUCCUAAUAUCUUUAA